RNAcentral lists this ribosomal RNA (2904 nucleotides) under Enterobacter roggenkampii. RNAcentral describes it as "23S ribosomal RNA". It matches the Rfam family "Bacterial large subunit ribosomal RNA". The record is from RNAcentral. Lineage: Bacteria; Pseudomonadati; Pseudomonadota; Gammaproteobacteria; Enterobacterales; Enterobacteriaceae.
GGUUAAGCGACUAAGCGUACACGGUGGAUGCCCUGGCAGUCAGAGGCGAUGAAGGACGUGCUAAUCUGCGAAAAGCGCCGGCGAGGUGAUAUGAACCUUUGACCCGGCGAUGUCCGAAUGGGGAAACCCAGUGUGUUCCGACACACUAUCGUUAACUGAAUACAUAGGUUAACGAGGCGAACCGGGGGAACUGAAACAUCUAAGUACCCCGAGGAAAAGAAAUCAACCGAGAUUCCCCCAGUAGCGGCGAGCGAACGGGGAGCAGCCCAGAGUCUGAAUCAGCUUGUGUGUUAGUGGAAGCGUCUGGAAAGUCGCACGGUACAGGGUGACAGUCCCGUACACGAAAAUGCACAGGUUGUGAACUCGAAGAGUAGGGCGGGACACGUGGUAUCCUGUCUGAAUAUGGGGGGACCAUCCUCCAAGGCUAAAUACUCCUGACUGACCGAUAGUGAACCAGUACCGUGAGGGAAAGGCGAAAAGAACCCCGGCGAGGGGAGUGAAAUAGAACCUGAAACCGUGUACGUACAAGCAGUGGGAGCACCUUCGUGGUGUGACUGCGUACCUUUUGUAUAAUGGGUCAGCGACUUAUAUUCUGUAGCAAGGUUAACCGUAUAGGGGAGCCGAAGGGAAACCGAGUCUUAACUGGGCGUUAAGUUGCAGGGUAUAGACCCGAAACCCGGUGAUCUAGCCAUGGGCAGGUUGAAGGUUGGGUAACACUAACUGGAGGACCGAACCGACUAAUGUUGAAAAAUUAGCGGAUGACUUGUGGCUGGGGGUGAAAGGCCAAUCAAACCGGGAGAUAGCUGGUUCUCCCCGAAAGCUAUUUAGGUAGCGCCUCGUGAACUCAUCUUCGGGGGUAGAGCACUGUUUCGGCUAGGGGGCCAUCCCGGCUUACCAACCCGAUGCAAACUACGAAUACCGAAGAAUGUUAUCACGGGAGACACACGGCGGGUGCUAACGUCCGUCGUGAAGAGGGAAACAACCCAGACCGCCAGCUAAGGUCCCAAAGUCAUGGUUAAGUGGGAAACGAUGUGGGAAGGCACAGACAGCCAGGAUGUUGGCUUAGAAGCAGCCAUCAUUUAAAGAAAGCGUAAUAGCUCACUGGUCGAGUCGGCCUGCGCGGAAGAUGUAACGGGGCUAAACCAUGCACCGAAGCUGCGGCAGCGACACUAUGUGUUGUUGGGUAGGGGAGCGUUCUGUAAGCCGUUGAAGGUGUGCUGUGAGGCAUGCUGGAGGUAUCAGAAGUGCGAAUGCUGACAUAAGUAACGAUAAAGCGGGUGAAAAGCCCGCUCGCCGGAAGACCAAGGGUUCCUGUCCAACGUUAAUCGGGGCAGGGUGAGUCGACCCCUAAGGCGAGGCCGAAAGGCGUAGUCGAUGGGAAACAGGUUAAUAUUCCUGUACUUGGUGUUACUGCGAAGGGGGGACGGAGAAGGCUAUGUUAGCCGGGCGACGGUUGUCCCGGUUUAAGCAUGUAGGCGGAACGAUUAGGUAAAUCCGGUCGUUUUUAACGCUGAGGUGUGAUGACGAGGCACUACGGUGCUGAAGUAACAAAUGCCCUGCUUCCAGGAAAAGCCUCUAAGCAUCAGGUAACAUCAAAUCGUACCCCAAACCGACACAGGUGGUCAGGUAGAGAAUACCAAGGCGCUUGAGAGAACUCGGGUGAAGGAACUAGGCAAAAUGGUGCCGUAACUUCGGGAGAAGGCACGCUGAUAUGUAGGUGAAGCCCCUGCGGGUGGAGCUGAAAUCAGUCGAAGAUACCAGCUGGCUGCAACUGUUUAUUAAAAACACAGCACUGUGCAAACACGAAAGUGGACGUAUACGGUGUGACGCCUGCCCGGUGCCGGAAGGUUAAUUGAUGGGGUUAGCGGCAACGCGAAGCUCUUGAUCGAAGCCCCGGUAAACGGCGGCCGUAACUAUAACGGUCCUAAGGUAGCGAAAUUCCUUGUCGGGUAAGUUCCGACCUGCACGAAUGGCGUAAUGAUGGCCAGGCUGUCUCCACCCGAGACUCAGUGAAAUUGAACUCGCUGUGAAGAUGCAGUGUACCCGCGGCAAGACGGAAAGACCCCGUGAACCUUUACUAUAGCUUGACACUGAACACUGGUCCUUGAUGUGUAGGAUAGGUGGGAGGCUUUGAAGCGUGGACGCCAGUCUGCGUGGAGCCGUCCUUGAAAUACCACCCUUUAAUGGCUGGUGUUCUAACGUAGACCCGUAAUCCGGGUUGCGGACAGUGUCUGGUGGGUAGUUUGACUGGGGCGGUCUCCUCCCAAAGAGUAACGGAGGAGCACGAAGGUUAGCUAAUCCUGGUCGGACAUCAGGAGGUUAGUGCAAUGGCAUAAGCUAGCUUGACUGCGAGAGUGACGGCUCGAGCAGGUGCGAAAGCAGGUCAUAGUGAUCCGGUGGUUCUGAAUGGAAGGGCCAUCGCUCAACGGAUAAAAGGUACUCCGGGGAUAACAGGCUGAUACCGCCCAAGAGUUCAUAUCGACGGCGGUGUUUGGCACCUCGAUGUCGGCUCAUCACAUCCUGGGGCUGAAGUAGGUCCCAAGGGUAUGGCUGUUCGCCAUUUAAAGUGGUACGCGAGCUGGGUUUAGAACGUCGUGAGACAGUUCGGUCCCUAUCUGCCGUGGGCGCUGGAGAAUUGAGGGGGGCUGCUCCUAGUACGAGAGGACCGGAGUGGACGCAUCACUGGUGUUCGGGUUGUCAUGCCAAUGGCACUGCCCGGUAGCUAAAUGCGGAAAAGAUAAGUGCUGAAAGCAUCUAAGCACGAAACUUGCCCCGAGAUGAGUUCUCCCUGAGACUUUAAGUCUCCUGAAGGAACGUUGAAGACGACGACGUUGAUAGGUCGGGUGUGUAAGCGCAGCGAUGCGUUGAGCUAACCGAUACUAAUGAACCGUGAGGCUUAACCUU